ACUCCAUUAUGAUUUUUCAAAAAUCAUAAAAUUUAAUUUUUAAGACACUUCUAGUGCGCUAAAUCAAGUUCAACAAUAUCGAUAGUCGAUUAAUAAUAGAAUAAUAGCUGAAUUCGUAAUAAAGGCUCUUUCUAUAUAUAUUUCAAUGCAUCAUCAACAAAUAAUAUUAGCAUCAGUUGAGCUGGAAUACUAUCAGUAGUAAACGGGCUUCGUUCCCACCCAUUUAAUUUUGAUGAUGGAGCCUCCAAAUCGACGAUCGAUAUCAUUGAAUAUGAACUAUACCACUCGAAAUGUUUAGAAAUCAAUUUUCAAUUUUUUCGACAUCAUUAACCUAAUAAUCAAAGGGUUUCAAAAUUUAUAAUUUUAAUGGUCGAUAUGAGGUAUUUUCUCGUUUAACAGUGUAAACAUAUCCAAACCGAUUGAAUUUUGGUAAAAUUUUUUUAAAACUAUUUAGAAUAAGAUCUAAAUUCUCGAUCUUGAUUACAAAAUUUCUAUCAUCACUUUUUAGAGAAUAUUCAUUUUCAGCCAUUCAAUUUUGUGUUCACUGAUGGAUAAGAAAAUAAUAUCAGAAAAGUAUGAAAUUUGAUUUCUAAAUGCUUUAAGUGGUAUAAAUCAUAUUCAACAAUACCGAUCGUUGAUUUGUAGGCUCUACCAUCAAAAAUAAAUAAAUGGCAAUAAAACUCGUUUGCUACCGAUAGUAUUCUAGCUCAACUCAUAUUAGUAUUAUUACGGUAAAGAUAGCUUAAAAGUGUGUAAAGUUAGAGAAAUUAAAGCCUACAACAGUGUAUUCCCACAUCCUAUGCCCAGCACUAUUUUUAGCACUUUUCUAUACGGUUGGUUUGAGAUUAGUUAAUGUUCAUUGAAAAAACUUCAUUACAUUGUCCUAUGUAAUUUAUAGUUCACAACAGUAUAUUGGACAUUUUUAUUUUUGUACACAUUAGUUUCCGAUUUGAUAGAUUAUGGACAUGAUUGUUUCGCUGAAAUUGGACUUUGGGUAGAAGUAGACUUUGGGUUUAAGUAAAGUUCAGUGAAAAUUAUUUUUUUUCCGCUGUUUGUUUCGUAAUUAUGGAAGUGAAAUUUUAUUAGUUCUGCUGUUUGUUUGGUAGGAAGUGUAUAAUAUAAAACUAUAAUUUAUAUAUAAAUAAUAAAUACUUUAAUAAAUAAAAAUAAUAUAAUUAUAUUUUUAUAUAAUUAAAAUUUAAUUUAAAAUAAAUAAAUUAUUUUUUAUAUAUAAAUUAUAGUAAUACAAUAAUAAAAUUAUAAAGCAAAAAAAUAUCAAUAUUUAAUUAAUCAAUUUUUAUUAUAUUUUUAUUGUACAAAUUAAAUAAAAAAAAUAUUAAAACUUAACUAAUCAAUUUUUAUCAUAUUUUAAAUAUACCAACUGAAUAAAAAAAUAAUUAGUAAUAUAAUUAAAUAUAUUUAAAUGUAACUAUCUUUAUCUAGUAUAUUAUUUUAUUAUUUUUUCUUCAUCUCACCUCUCCGUAAGUGACUCGGCUCAUGAUGGCCGAAGUCAAUUACGCCGUUUGAGAUUCACUCGAGUUUUGACCGUAACUUUUUUACCGCAAAUCAAACAACGGAAGUGAUUAUUUACGAUGAAAACGACUUCCCUCCACUCCACUCCCACCCCACUUCCGCCCAAACAAACAUGCCCUAUAUGUAGAUUUUAAGGGUUAAUUUCAUUCUUGCCUCUCUAAAUUUUAGAAGUAUCAAAAAUACUCCUAUAAAUUUUGUUAUAUCAUUAUUUCUCUUUCCAAUACAUUUUUUUUUUUUCAAAAAUACCCUCGCCGUUAUACUCCGUCUCUUCAAAUCAUAUUAACCAUAGUUAAAUGGUGGUCUAACACAUGUUAAAAUUUGAAAUGUCCGUUUUGCCCAUGAGUUGAGAAUCUUUUGAAGGAUAUGUUUAUUAUAUGACUUUAGUAUUUAGCCCCUAACUUUUGUUCAUUAUUUGUUUAACAUCCAAACUAAUUAAUGUUGCUCACCGGUAUUCUUUCGUACUAUUUGGCUCCUAACUUUUGUUCAUUAUUUAUUGGCUAAAUUACAGAAAAUUUCUAUGUAAUAACCCGCUUUUUUUCUUUCCCCCCAUGACAUUUAAAAAUCUACACUUUGCCCCCCUGUAAAAUAAAAAAUGUUCACAGGGGGGGUUACGGUGUGUAAAAUGACCAUUUUACCCCUCGCCAUUGUCGUCUUCUUCCCCAUCUUCCUCAGCCGCCCCUUCAUCCGGUCGCGAUUCCCAUCUCAAUCGGCCGCGAUUUCUCUCCAUUUCCUUCUCCACCUGCUCCCCUUCUCCUCCUGCACCCUCGCCGCCCUCGAUUUUGGCGACAGUAGGAGAAAUCGAGGUGGGCGACAGUAGGAGAAGGGCAAAGAAGGCGAAGGCGAGGCGGCGGAGGACGGCGAAGGGGAUGUGGGUGAGGGCGAGGCAGUGGAGGACGGCGAGGCGGCGAGGAGGCGGCGAGGCGGCGAGCCGGAGGGAGGCGAAGCAACAGGGAGAUGGCGGAGGGGUAUUUUCGGCAUAAAAAUAUAUUUUUUAACGGAACCCUAAUGGUAGGGGGUGAAGUGCACAUUUUUUAUUUUACAGGGGGGCAAAUUGUAAGUUUUUUAAAUGUCAGGGAGGGAAAGUGAAAAAACGGGUUAUUAUAAGGAGGUUUUCUGUAAUUUAACCUUAUUUAUUUUAGUUAGUUGUAUUUAAAAUUUUAUUUAACUUAAAUUACUUUGUUAGCCAUUACUCAUAUUUUUUUCAAAA
Molecule: long non-coding RNA, 2740 nt
Filed under: Ananas comosus (pineapple)
Lineage: Eukaryota; Viridiplantae; Streptophyta; Magnoliopsida; Poales; Bromeliaceae
Description: long non-coding RNA (ACOM_LNC022965)
Source: RNAcentral